AUGUGCAAAAACAAAAUAAUGAAAGUUUUUUCAAUAAUUUUUCAAUUAAUAUGAAAAGUGAGUAGUAUGUUUUUGAGCGUGCAUUUUUCUGCAUCGAUGCCGAAACCACAAAAAAAAAACAAAAUAAAAAAAAUUGUUGUCACCGUUUUGUUGUCCCAGAAUAAAUAUCGAUUUGAUCGGGAAGAGGUUGGAACAAAUUGGAAUUCUCAACAGCCCGGACUUUAUAACAUCAACAAGGAAGCACGUAAAAGCCUGGUGCCGUCGGUGCCGCAGACACCCCAAGGUGCGGUCAAACUACUGUCCACAGCCAUUGUUGCUCUUGCUGUUAAACUGGACCACAGAUAAACCGGACCAACGUAACAGCCAUUCAUCUCCUGCAAGAAAAAAUCAACUGCCAUCGGAAGUCUAUCCAAGCGCCAAUUCCUACUAAACCGCUGAGAGUGGAAUCGAUAAGCAUUUUCCGAAGUUCCGCUCCUUGAUGUGCUGAGCGGCAACGGGCAGACGACGACAACGCAUAGAAUUUUCCCGGGAAAGAGAGAGAUGGAUUCUUGCAAGUGGCGUGGUAGGACGAGCUCUAAAAAAACAAAUAUUAGGAGAGAUUUUCAGCAUUGCAUUCAGGAGGACAACUAAAUAUGAAUUAUUUUAUUUAUUAAAAUUAUUCCCAUUAUUGGGUCUUUGCGCAAUAGCUAAAUAUAAUCGGAUAAAUUUCACAAAAUAUGUUAAAUUGUUUCAUAUCAGAAAUAAUGAAACAAAAAUAACAUGCAGUAUAAAUAAACUUCAGACAGAAACAGUAAA
Aedes aegypti (yellow fever mosquito) is the source of this 795-nucleotide long non-coding RNA. RefSeq lists it as uncharacterized. The transcript is spliced from 3 exons. Lineage: Eukaryota; Metazoa; Arthropoda; Insecta; Diptera; Culicidae. The record is from RefSeq and is a predicted model, not a curated record.